GUUCAGCAUGGCUGCCGCAGCCCUGAAACGCUCACAGCGCAGGCGCAAGGGUGCGACCGGAUGGGGGAGGGGCAAGGAAUGCGGGCGGCCGCGGGGAGGGCGCCAGUGCGCAGGCGCAUGAGCAGAGUCGCAGACCCCGGGACCGAGCUCUGAGGGCGCGCGGUGGGUGGGUGGGGCGGAAGCCGUGCGCGCAGACGCUAGUCUCGGUGCCCUUCCUCCACGGCACGGGCUGGCGUGCGGCCUGGUGGGCUCCCGGCUCAGGGCUUCGGUUGGGAGGCGCAGCUCGCGGCAGCCUGACCAGAGUCGUAGGGAGCGCCCCGCGGGAGCUGGGGCGCCUGCAGGGUGGGGCUGCUGCGCUGUGUUCGGCCCUGAGGGCGUCGUGUCCUCGUUCCUGCGCCGGGCGGGCCGAGGUAGUUCUGCGACCUCUCUUGUCCCCCCGGGACACCCUAAAUGUCUUCUUAGAGACCUCCGAGUUCCUGGAGGCCUCUGCCCUCUGCAGAGUCUCUAAUUAGGUCACUUCCGCACGGCGGUCCACUUUUUAGUGAAAGCGCUCCUACUCUGAAAACUUGGCUGUCUGCUCUCUCGAUCUUAAAUCAAUCUCGUAAAAAAGAGAUUGGUAACAUAAAAUAGGGUGAUCCGGAGGACACCAGGGCAAUCUUUUAAUUUGUCCCUAACCCAUUACCUCUUCCUUCAUCCCUCACUACCAACUAAUAUCUCUUCCACCUACAGGGCGCCCCUCCCCCACCUACUGUAACCUGGGCCGCCUUCCCGUUUGGUUAGGGGUUGCCUUUCUUGGUUUAAGAAAAUCCCUUUACUUUUGACCUGGUUAACGUGCCCCGAGGCUAUCCUCUUUUCUCCACCCUUUGGAAUGUUAAGCUUUAUUUCCUAACCAGAGAAAAAUAAGAACUCUUGGAGGUUUCUAAGUACAAAUGUAGGGUGCCCUCAGGGGACACGUGAGGUGGUAAAGUUAAAGGCCUCACAAAACAGCCUUUUCAGUACCUUGCUCGGUUAGGAGACUUCUUACCUCUAAGGACCUUUGCAUAGGCAGAUAAUGCAGGACCUGUAAAAAUUCUACUUACGUUUUUACUUCAUCUUCCUCUUGCUAGAGUCUUCUGCUCUUCCUCCCUCUACGCAUCCCCACCCUCCUUUAACUUGUUAGUCUGUCAGCUUCCACCAGAAUACCCUUCAGGCACCCAUCAGGCUCAAGGACCUCUUUAUUGGAAAGUGCUUUGCAGUUCUCACCUCAUUUGACCCCUCUGGAGCAUUUGACAUUUGAUCUUCCUUCCUGACACUCUGUACCUUUGACUUCUGUGACCAAUCUCACCAGUUUCUUAGUUCGUACUUGUCUGUUCUCCCCAGGCUCCUUUCUGAACUCUUAGCCCUUUCCCACAUACUGACGUUUGCCAAAUUAUACCUGUUUUCUUCUAGUUCUGGCAUCUCUAGGUAGUAGCACACAAAUGAUUCAAACCUUUUCCAACUUGAAUCUGGUUGCUGCUGAAUACCCUCAAACACUUCAAGGGGUUCACGACUGAUGUGGUCUGGGUGUGCUCUGAACUUGCUCUUUCUGUUUCCUUUCGGAUGACAGCUGCUCAGUCACAAAGCUUGGAAUGUGGGACCCCUUCUUGUGUUUCCUCUCACAACUUUGUAUCCACCAGACUUACUAUUUGGCCUUUUAAGUAUCCAUUGAAACCCAGGCCUGCUCUAGUCCUGUCAACUAGGCUAUGUAGACAGUUUCUUGGGAAACUUCUUACCUCUAGAGCUGCGUUAUACAAUACAAUAGAUACGUGGUUAUUUGAACUCAGAUGUGCAUUUUUGUUUUGUUUUUUGAAGACAGGAUCUCAUUGCAUAGUGCAGGUUGGGCUUGACUCACUGUGUAUCCUAGGAUGGCCUGGAAAUUGUGGCAGUCUUCCUGCCUCAGCCUCAUGUGCACUGCCACUCCCAGCUUGAAUUUAGGUGCAGUUUCAAAUUUAAUUUCCCAGUGUGAUAGAACUGUGGGGGACUGGCGGUGGCUGAAAAGAUAAGAAGUAUGAAAUAUAAAUGACCUUUAUUUUGAGAAUGCGGGGAGAGACACCCCUGAUCCCCCGCGGGGUGCGGCAUCUCCACCCUGGGGUCGGCGGCCUCUCCAUGGAACACAUGGAGUGAGGCACAUAAGUAGCCUCGGUUUGGGGUGGAAGCUAAGGGGGCAUUAGGGAUGCACAGGUAGCCCAUUGGUCUUUGUUUGGUGCCAGAGGUAAAUUCCUAAGGGUGGGGGAGAUAGGAGCUCCUUGGCUUUACCAGCUACAGUGUCCGGCCUGGGCCAAAACCCUUUCACAGUGCAUUAGCCACAUUUCAAAUUCUCAGUAGCCACGUACAGCUAGUAACUUCCACGGAACAGCAGAUGAUGGAACAUUUCUGCCGCUGCAAAAAAUAGCCUUUUGGACAGUGAUACUCUAGGUUUUCUCUUCUGCCCCUGCCACAGGUGCUCUCAGCGGUGAGCUUGCCCUAGCUAUAUGUUAUUGUGUGAAUCUGUGUUAAUUCCAAAUUACCUUCAUGAUGAAAUCCAAAUUCUUGUGCUUGCCAGAAAAGUUCUGUGCGCCUCUCCCACCUCAUGACUAGUCACUUCCUCUUGGGCUUCUUUACUGCAGGAAAAUUAAAAUGGUGUCCAAGACGUGUACACCAUGCCUCUGUAUGUUCCUCAUACUGUCCCUCUACAUGGAAGAUGCUUUUUUUCUCUUACUAAAUCCAAAAAUCACCAUCUCCGAAAAGACUACUCUUGCUUCCCAGACUGAGCCGAGUGCUCAAACCAUAGUGCCGUUUCCUUUUCUGAUUAUACCUAUUACAGUCAGUUCCAUUUCUGUAACUAUUUUUCUGUGCUGCAUUUUGAUCUCGAGAGCAAGGCUGCAUUGAAAAUUUUUUUAAGUACUCACGGGUCCUGGACACAUUAUCUGGCCAACAAAUUGAGCAAAUGUUGAAAGGAAUUGGUGCUUAGAUGAUUAUGUAUGUGAGUUAGAUGAAAUUGCAAGGUAUAUGCACUGUGGGGUACUGCGCCUAGUCCUGGGGAGUAACUAUAGGCAAAAAUCAUUGUCUUAAGGGACACUGAGAAAUUGGUGUGAGGAAAGACAAGCAGAACAGCACAAGCUAUUCUUACGGAGUAGUGUAGUUCAAGAAGGACAUAAAAUAAGUUAUAAUAAAGUAGGAAAGAAAAUUAAAUAGGAAUAAAGUCAGAGGGAAAUUUAUUUGUGCAGGCCAUAUUUUGGAGUUUCCAGUGCUGUUAAGUAUGACUCCAGUGGGGAGAGCAAUGACUUCAUCAGAAUCAUCUUGAGUUAGAGGCUAGCCUGAACUAUACAGAGAAACCUUGUCUCAGAAAGCCCCCAAAACAUAAAUAAAUACGAAAUUUACGUUGGGGACCACAUUCACAAUGGUUAAUUUUGCAUAACGUGAAGGUUUGGAAUUAUUGGUAUGACCCACUUGAUUAACUCUUUAGGCUGGCCAUCAUCUCACACCCACUAAACUAAAACCACUAAGUCUAAAAAACACUCUGGAGCAAGAUCCUUCUUAGCAUAAAAUCCUCUCCACCCUCUUGAGUCAUCACAAGAUUAUACUUGCCAGUUGAGUCAUAGAUCUGUAAGUCUGUGUAAGUCUAUCUGUAAGCCAGCUUCAAAUCUUUCACUAGCCCCGCCCAUCAUUGUAUACACCCAAUGAACAGUGGCUGUCCUGGAGUGUCACUGUCGUGAGCAGUGUGGAGACGGCCAGUCGCUCAUCCUGUAUUACUAAAUUUGCUCUCUUGUUUUGUCCUCUUGCCAUACCCUUAACACAGGCAAUCGGGGCUCCUGGCUGGGUCCCCGAUACAUUUAGGGUAGGCUGGAAGAUUGGGCUGUGAGUGAAAUUUUCACGCAAGGAGCAAGAACAGGAAGUGGAACUAGUGAAAGAGCUUGAAACCAGGCUGGGAAACAGCAGCGUGGUACAGAGAAGCCAAGACCAGGGGAUGGUGCCAGUGCGUGCUGUGUGUUUAUCAAAUAGAUGAAUGACUAAAUCAGUUAAGCUUUUUUGUGUCAUGGACUUUUUUUUAGCGAUUUUGGCUUUAGAUAUUACAUAUUUUUUAUGAAUGUAUCCAUGAGAUCAUAAGGUAAAAUAUAAUUAUCAAAUUAGAGAAGUAUGUGAUCUAAUAGUAUGUAUUUCUUUACCAGUGUAUAAAAUAACACGAUUUAUUGGUGGGCUUAACACCUCCCAUUAUAAAGUGGGGCUGUGUUAAGAUGUGUAUAGUAACUAUAAUGUGAUAAAAUUAUUGAUAGUGAUUUUUUAAAGUUCACUGCUAGUACUACAAAGAUUUUUCCUAUGUUUACUCAUAAAAUUAAGGUUCUCUGAAUUCUGUGGCAAGUUAGAAACCCCUGUUCUGUUUAAGGAAGUGAAACUGUAGGUAGACGUGAGGGAAAAAAGACAGGAAAAUGUACCGUGUUGGCACUACAGUUUGAAGAACUAGCAAAGUUCUUGCUGAAGCUGAACCCUCAUUGGGAGAUACCGGGGCUGGGCCAUGAAGGCUGUGCCUUCGGGAAUGGAUUACACCCUGGAUGAGUGGAUUGACAGUACCUCAGGAUUGGCAUUGCUGUGGAAGCAAGCUCUGUAGCCACUUGGUGGGUCUCGAUGACUAUUGUCACCAUGAAGCUUCCCAUGUGUGUGCCCUCGCAGGAAGGCCCUCCCCAGAUGCUGAGCAGGCGCCAGUGCUGUGCUCUUGGACUUCCCAUCCUGUAGAAUUGUCAACAAAAUGAACCUCUUCUGUAUAUAUGAGCCUGACUGGAGUGUUUAGUUACAGCAACAGAUGACAGGCAAAGAUAGUUGAUAAUUGGGGUCAUUACUGAUGUUCAAGGACAGUUUCUGCAGUUAAGAUCAGUGUGGGUAACAUAGUCCCCAUCUCAAAAUGAAAACAAACAGGAACACAAAAAUUCCCUCUGCCAAUGCUGUGGAAAAUCAUACAGUUGGAGACAGACCUGUUGGAGCAGGUGAAGCUGGAGAUUGAUCGCAUGUGGAGCUAAAGCAAGGCCAGCCUUGAAAACAGAGACAGCCCCAAGCAAGCCACAUAAACAAGCAUUCCAGCUCUAAGACGGGGCCCCGGACAGCCCGCAAACAAGUGCUAGGCAGUGGGGUUGGAAUGGACGCUCUUCUUGGGAGGGUGUAAGUAAUGGUGCUGCAGUGGUGGAGCAGCUCCUUCUCUUCCAUCAGGAGCCUAAAGGGCUCCACCUGACCCCAGCUUUGGUCUCUUUAUUUUCUCCUCCUCUCGCAGUCCUUCACCCCAAGAACCUCAAGAAGCAGGGGUCACGGCAAGACCAAUUCUAAGAAAGAUGCUAUAAAACAGGAAAUACAGUGUUAAAUGAGGUAGAGUCAGUAGAUCUUAGUGAAAAAUUGGAAAGAUUUGAGGAAGGUGGAGCCAUGAGAGGUGGAAGCUCUGAGCUCACCAUCGUAGCUUGGACAAUUACUGAAGUCUUAACUACAGGAGUUGGGAGAUUUUGGGAAGGGAUGGUGAUGAAUUAGUUUUGUAAAUCUUGAACUAGAGAUAUAUAGCAAUUCAUAGACUUAUUUGCCUAUGAUCUGUUUAAUUAGAAUUCAUCAUUGCAUUAUUAACAGGGUUUUAUGAGACAUAAAGCAACACCACUUUUUAAACCAGAGGCACAGUUUAAAAAUCUUUUCAUUUGAAACUUUCUUAGACAUUUUGAGAUCAUUCAGAGACAUGAACACGAAUUGGGUUAAAUCAAGAUGAAUAAUUGCUUUUAAUUGUUUGGAUUGAGGUGAUGGGGUAUACUAGAAAGGCCAUUUAAUAUAGCUAUUACACAUAUGCUCGAGUUGUAGAUCCUUAGCAGAAUAUAAAUGUUUUGAUGUUUUGGUUUGUUUUUGUUAGACAGGCUGACCUUGAACUCACUAUGUAGCCCAUGCUAGCCUUAAAUUUACCACAGUCCUCAUGCCUCAGACUCCCGAAUGCUAGGAUUACAGGCAUGCGGCACCACGCCCAGUCAGAAUAUAAACCUUGGGGGCUGGGGAUUUAGCUCAGCGGCAUAAGCGCCUGCCUUGUAAGCAGGCAGUCGUAAGUUCGAUCCCCAGUACUGAUAAAAAAGAAAAAGACAAAAAAAAAAAAAAAGAAUAUAAACCUUUAAAUUAAUAAAUCAACAUUGAAGCCUAUGAUAAAUUAAUCUCAAUAUGUGGUAGACAUGUUACAGAUCACCAAGUAGCUGACCUACAUCACCUGAGCAGUUGGUUGGGAAAUGUGACCUGAGCAGUGAUACGUACAUCUAACCUGUUGUGUGUACCUCAGAUGAUCUCCUGGGAUGCUUAGGUUGAAGAUAGCUGUAUUGAGGUGGUUGCUUCACUAAUGGUGUUUCUCUCUUCUCCAGAAAUAGCACUAAUCCCUGGAGGUGACUGAUGCUGAGACGUUUAAAGAAUUCAGUAGUGUUCACCUCAGUUAAAAUUGUCUCUCUCAACAAGGUGUAAUUUUAAAGAUAGCCUGGAGGCAUUUGCCCCCAACCGCACAUGUGCAAGUAUAUGUGUAUGUGUGUGCAAGUGUGUGUGCUUUGAUGGUACUGGGGUACUGGGGUUUGGACCAGUUUGUCACACAUCUUCAGCCCUUUUUUAUUUUCUAAUUGGAGACAGUGUCUUGUUAAAUAGCUCAAGGUGGGCUCAAGCUUGUGAUCCUUCUUCCUCUACCUCCUGGAGUGCUGGGAUUGUAGGCAUGCACCACCAUCCUGCUCAAUAUUUGUGUUUUAUUAUGUCUAUGUUGAAACAAACUUUGAAAUAAAAAAUUUCUAUCAUCUGACUUACAUGAUUUUAUUUCUUAAGGAAUACUGCUACCUGUGGAGACUGCCGUUGAGGUGGUCUGUUUUAUAACACCCGACAGGAGGUGGCUGAUGCAGCUGGGUAGAUGGAAAGUGUGGGACUCAGCAGGACCAGAGCUCAGGGGUGACUGUGAUGACCCCAGAGGUGUCAGUAACUGAGGCAGGCAGAAGCGAAUGAGGCCACCCGUGGCAAUUAUGUUGUGUAAGAAGGGUAAGAGUUGGGGACAGAACUCUAGGGACGCCAAUACCUUAAGGUAGCUGAAGGGAAAGAAUCCACAGAGACUUAAGAGGGCACAUCAGAGGAGUGGAACUAGGAGAAAGUUCCAUCAAAGAUGCUCCCCAAAUAGACUAAUUUAGGAGGCGGUACAGCCAGUGGUGUCAAGUGUUUAGGAGAUUGCGAAGAAUCCAGCUGAUUCAGAAACACAAAAUGCUGGUGAAUACUUUCAUUGAUGAGGAUGAAGGACUAACAAGUAUGAAAGUGGGACCCAAUUACCCACAGCUCUCAAGAAAUCUGGCUCUGACUGCAGAGGGCUAAAGGUGGGGAAGGGAAGAUGGGGCUGGAAGGGUUGGGAGAGCCGGGCCUUGGAAAGCCUUGGCCGCAGGCUGGGAUACAGCUCGGAAGCGAGCACAGGCUCUGGGUUCAGUCUCUACUACUACGAGGGAAGGAAGAAAGAGAGUAAAGAGGGAAGGAGGGAGGGAGGGAAAGAAGCAAACUGUAAGUUGCUGGCUAAGCUGGUGUCUUCAAAUCUGUGCAUAUGUUCUUAGGGCUCCAGUAUAGCUCUGUGAUAAGAGGCUUGCCUAGCAUGCAUUACGCCCUCAGUUUACUCCCUAGCAUCACAAACAAUCCAAUGAAAAAGAAAGCCCCCCUAGAUUUAGAGGUGCUGUGCUAUUACUGUCAGAGGCAUUUUUUAAAUUAUUUUUUUAAAUGGUUACACAGGUCAGUGUGUUUCAGCUUGGCAGAUUCAAACAUGCACACUGUAUAUUUUGAUCAUCUCACUCCCUAGCACUCCUUCAUCUUACUGUCUUUUCUAGUCUCACAUUUUUGAGGUGCUUCAAUAUUUCUCUCAUUCCCAUCCCCCAAGCAUUUCUAUUUAAUGGCAAAAUGGACAGUGGGAACUGACUGCCCUGCUCUUGCCCACUGCUACUAUUUCCUCAAACUGAUGGAGUCCUUUGGAGACGCCUUUGGAGGGAUUGUUGGGAAGUCCUGGCAGGAAGAAGAGCCACAUAGAGGGCAGCAAAGUUAUAACGCUUGGAACUCGUUACAAGUCAUACUGGGAUUACAGAGGGCGAUGCAAGGAGUCAGCCCCCCGGCCGCAGUCUUGGUGACAUGACAGUGCAUCUCCUCAUCUUCGCCUUGUCCCUCCCUGCUCUCUGGAGAACUGAGCCCUCUGCUCGUCUCCCUGUUCUGUUCUGGAGUCGUCCCACUCGGCCCACCUCUGCUCCUCCCCAGCUCUUCAGACAACCUGUCACCGGAACACACCAACCAUUAAACCACUGCAGUUGCCAUGAAUAAAAGGGGCAGACUCUUGAACAGUGGGUUUAUUUUGGGGUUUCUAUCCCAAUUGUGACCACACCGGGAAGAGCUUUCAGCAAAGCAUCCGGCCCACCGCCUGUCUUUAUACGACUUAAGUGCUAAGAAUGGCUUUACAUUUUUAAAUGUUUGGGAGAAAAAACAAAAAAAGCAAA
This is a long non-coding RNA of Cavia porcellus (domestic guinea pig), 8483 nucleotides long. RefSeq lists it as uncharacterized. The record is from RefSeq and is a predicted model, not a curated record. Lineage: Eukaryota; Metazoa; Chordata; Mammalia; Rodentia; Caviidae. The transcript is spliced from 2 exons.